Molecule: ribosomal RNA, 606 nt
Filed under: Vishniacozyma victoriae
Lineage: Eukaryota; Fungi; Basidiomycota; Tremellomycetes; Tremellales; Bulleribasidiaceae
Description: partial large subunit ribosomal RNA
Rfam family: Eukaryotic large subunit ribosomal RNA
Source: RNAcentral
UAAGCGGAGGAAAAGAAACUAACUAGGAUUCCCUUAGUAACGGCGAGUGAACCGGGAUGAGCUCAAAUUUAAAAUCUGGCGUCUUUCAGGCGUCCGAGUUGUAAUCUAUAGAGGCGUUUUCCGCGCCGGACCGCGUCCAAGUCUCUUGGAAUAGAGUAUCAAAGAGGGUGACAAUCCCGUACUUGACGCGACAACCGGUGCUCUGUGAUACGUUCUCAAUGAGUCGAGUUGUUUGGGAAUGCAGCUCUAAAUGGGUGGUAAAUUCCAUCUAAGGCUAAAUAUUGGCGAGAGACCGAUAGCGAACAAGUACCGUGAGGGAAAGAUGAAAAGCACUUUGGAAAGAGAGUUAAACAGCACGUGAAAUUGUUAAAAGGGAAACGAUUGAAGUCAGUCGUGUGAAAGGUAUUCAGCCGUCUCUGGCGGUGUAUUUGCCUUUCACGGGUCAACAUCAGUUUGAUCCGGUAGAAAAAGGCGGGAGGAAGGUGGCACCCUCGGGUGUGUUAUAGCCUCCUGUCAUAUGUGCCGGACCAGACUGAGGAACGCAGCUUGCCGCAAGGCCGGGGUUCGCCCACGUACAAGCUUAGGAUGUUGACAUAAUGGCUUUAA